GAUGAACGCUGGCGGCGUGCCUAAUACAUGCAAGUCGAGCGAACAGACGAGGAGCUUGCUCCUCUGACGUUAGCGGCGGACGGGUGAGUAACACGUGGAUAACCUACCUAUAAGACUGGGAUAACUUCGGGAAACCGGAGCUAAUACCGGAUAAUAUAUUGAACCGCAUGGUUCAAUAGUGAAAGACGGUUUUGCUGUCACUUAUAGAUGGAUCCGCGCCGCAUUAGCUAGUUGGUAAGGUAACGGCUUACCAAGGCGACGAUGCGUAGCCGACCUGAGAGGGUGAUCGGCCACACUGGAACUGAGACACGGUCCAGACUCCUACGGGAGGCAGCAGUAGGGAAUCUUCCGCAAUGGGCGAAAGCUUGACGGAGCAACGCCGCGUGAGUGAUGAAGGUCUUCGGAUCGUAAAGCUCUGUUAUUAGGGAAGAACAAAUGUGUAAGUAACUAUGCCCGUCUUGACGGUACCUAAUCAGAAAGCCACGGCUAACUACGUG
Molecule: ribosomal RNA, 497 nt
Filed under: uncultured bacterium
Lineage: Bacteria
Description: partial 16S ribosomal RNA
Rfam family: Bacterial small subunit ribosomal RNA
Source: RNAcentral